CCUACGGGUGGCAGCAGUGAGGAAUAUUGGUCAAUGGGCGAGAGCCUGAACCAGCCAAGUCGCGUGAAGGAUGACGGCCCUACGGGUUGUAAACAUCUUUUGUCAGGGAGCAAGUGAGACCACGUGUGGGCUUAGCGAGAGUAGCUGAAGAAAAAGCAACGUCUAACUCCGUGCGAGCAGCCGCGGGAAGACGGAGGAUGCGAGCUUGAGCAGGAUGGAUUGGGUUGACGGGGUGCGUAGGCGGAAGAUCGAGUCAGCGGUAAAUAGUCGGGGCGCACCCCCGUCGUGCCGUUGAAACUGGUGUUCUUGAGUGGUCUAGAAGUAUGCGGAAUUCCUGGUGUAGCGGUGACAUGCAUAGAUAUCACGCAGAUCUCCGAUUGCGAAGGCAGCCUCCCGGCGCCCAACUGACGCUGAGGCACGAAAGCGUGGGUAUCGAACAGGAUUAGAUACCCCAGUAGUC
RNAcentral lists this ribosomal RNA (460 nucleotides) under uncultured bacterium. Its description in RNAcentral is "partial 16S ribosomal RNA". It matches the Rfam family "Bacterial small subunit ribosomal RNA", at positions 338 to 795 of the family's 1533-position model. The record is from RNAcentral.